GGAGAGAGUGAGUGUUGUGUAAGCAGUCUUUGCCAGGCUAAAGAUCUCCUAGCAACAAGGACCCCUGUUUCUAUAUAAGGUGGAGAGGGAAUCAAAUAUAGGUACAAAAACAGUGAUGGCAGAACUGAAUGCAGCACCCUGGAGAUGAACUCAUGGAAAAACACCUCCUGUCCCAUGUCUGAACAGGCUGUGGUGGAGCCAUGCGGGCUGCCAGCUGUCAACUGCUGGAACAAUGCUUUAAAUAACGUGAAAACCACAGACUGUGCCACAGCUGACUCACUGCACCAAGAAACGUCACAGAAAAGAGAUAUUCCACUCAACGUCACAUAGCUAUCAAAUAGCAUAACACCAUGUUGGAGAACUGGCCCAAUCCCAAACAACACAGAGCUGAAG
Long non-coding RNA from Gymnodraco acuticeps, 393 nucleotides. RefSeq lists it as uncharacterized. The transcript has 3 exons. Lineage: Eukaryota; Metazoa; Chordata; Actinopteri; Perciformes; Bathydraconidae. The record is from RefSeq and is a predicted model, not a curated record.